This 399-nucleotide ribosomal RNA is filed under the name uncultured bacterium. RNAcentral's name for it is "partial 16S ribosomal RNA". It matches the Rfam family "Bacterial small subunit ribosomal RNA", at positions 359 to 774 of the family's 1533-position model. The record is from RNAcentral.
GAAUAUUGGGCAAUGGAGGAAACUCUUACCCAGCAAUGCCGCGUGAAGGAAGAAGGUCUUCGGAUUGUAAACUUCUUUUAUAGGCGACGAAGAAUGCCGGUAGCCUAUGAAACAGCCCCGGCACACUAUGUGCCAGCAGCAGCGGUAAUACAUAGGGGGCGAGCGUUGGCCGGAAUGACUGGGCGUAAAGGGAGUGUAGGCGGUUAUGCAAGUUACAUGUGAAAGCCCAGGGCUUAACUCUGGAACUGCAUGUAAAACUGCAUAACUAGAGUGUGUGAGAGGGAAGUGGAAUUCCUAGUGUAGCUGUGGAAUGCGUAGAUAUUAGGAGGAACACCAGUGGCGAAGGCGGCUUUCUGGACCACAACUGACGCUGAGGCUCGAAAGCGUGGGGAGCAAACA